RNAcentral lists this ribosomal RNA (404 nucleotides) under uncultured prokaryote. RNAcentral describes it as "bacterial SSU rRNA". It matches the Rfam family "Bacterial small subunit ribosomal RNA", at positions 355 to 774 of the family's 1533-position model. The record is from RNAcentral.
UGGGGAAUAUUGCACAAUGGGCGAAAGCCUGAUGCAGCAACGCCGCGUGAAGGAUGAAGGCCUUUGGGUCGUAAACUUCUGUCCUUGGGGAAGAAAAAAAUGACGGUACCCCUGGAGGAAGUCCCGGCUAACUACGUGCCAGCAGCCGCGGUAAUACGUAGGGGGCGAGCGUUAUCCGGAAUUAUUGGGCGUAAAGAGUACGUAGGUGGUUUUUUAAGCGCAGGGUUUAAGGCGAUGGCUCAACUGUCGUUCGCCCUGUGAACUGCAAGACUUGAGUAUGGGAGAGGAGAGCGGAAUUCCUGGUGUAGAGGUGAAAUUCGUAGAUAUCAGGAGGAACACCGGUGGCGAAGGCGGCUCUCUGGACCAAUACUGACGCUGAGGCACGAAGGCGUGGGGAGCAAACA